Molecule: ribosomal RNA, 590 nt
Filed under: Dujonia railenensis
Lineage: Eukaryota; Fungi; Ascomycota; Pichiomycetes; Serinales; Debaryomycetaceae
Description: LSU rRNA
Rfam family: Eukaryotic large subunit ribosomal RNA
Source: RNAcentral
GGAGGAAAAGAAACCAACAGGGAUUGCCUUAGUAACGGCGAGUGAAGCGGCAAAAGCUCAAAUUUGAAAUCUAGCACUUUCAGUGUUCGAGUUGUAAUUUGAAGAAGGUAACUUUGGAAUUGGCUCUUGUCUAUGUUCCUUGGAACAGGACGUCACAGAGGGUGAGAAUCCCGUGCGAUGAGAUGUCCAAUUCUAUGUAAAGUGCUUUCGAAGAGUCGAGUUGUUUGGGAAUGCAGCUCUAAGUGGGUGGUAAAUUCCAUCUAAAGCUAAAUAUUGGCGAGAGACCGAUAGCGAACAAGUACAGUGAUGGAAAGAUGAAAAGAACUUUGAAAAGAGAGUGAAAAAGUACGUGAAAUUGUUGAAAGGGAAGGGCUUGAGAUCAGACUUGGUAUUUUGUGUUCCUUAUCCUUCUUGGAUUAGGUUCCUCACAGCUUACCGGGCCAGCAUCGGUUUGGAUGGCAGGAUAAUGACAUUGGAAUGUAGCUUUGCUUCGGUGAAGUGUUAUAGACUUUGUUGAUACUGCCUAUCUAGACCGAGGACUGCGUCUUUUGACUAGGAUGCUGGCGUAAUGAUCUUAAGCCGCCCGUCUU